RNAcentral lists this ribosomal RNA (200 nucleotides) under uncultured bacterium. Its description in RNAcentral is "partial 16S ribosomal RNA". It matches the Rfam family "Bacterial small subunit ribosomal RNA", at positions 28 to 225 of the family's 1533-position model. The record is from RNAcentral.
GAUGAACGCUAGCGGCAGGCUUAAUACAUGCAAGACGAACGGUAAGUAGUGUAGCAAUACAUUGCCUAGAGUGUCGUACGGGUGCGUAACACGUAUGCAACCUACCUUGUACAGGAGUAUAGCUCCCCGAAAGGGGAAUUAACCCUCCAUAAUAUCAUUGAAUGGCAUCAUUUGAUGAUUAAAACUGAGGUGGUACAAGA